RNAcentral lists this transfer RNA (111 nucleotides) under Crenarchaeota archaeon 13_1_40CM_2_52_14. RNAcentral describes it as "tRNA-OTHER". It matches the Rfam family "tRNA". Rfam says of the family: Transfer RNA (tRNA) molecules are approximately 80 nucleotides in length. Their secondary structure includes four short double-helical elements and three loops (D, anti-codon, and T loops). Further hydrogen bonds mediate the characteristic L-shaped molecular structure. tRNAs have two regions of fundamental functional importance: the anti-codon, which is responsible for specific mRNA codon recognition, and the 3' end, to which the tRNAs corresponding amino acid is attached (by aminoacyl-tRNA synthetases). tRNAs cope with the degeneracy of the genetic code in two manners: having more than one tRNA (with a specific anti-codon) for a particular amino acid; and 'wobble' base-pairing, i.e. permitting non-standard base-pairing at the 3rd anti-codon position. The record is from RNAcentral. RNAcentral also lists the same sequence under 1 other name. Lineage: Archaea; Thermoproteati; Thermoproteota.
GGGCCCGUAGCUCAGCCUGGAUAGAGCGGCAGUCCACUUCUGGCCGAACCCCCUAUGCCUCGGAGCGGGUUGAGCUGUAGGUCCGGGGUUCGAAUCCCCGCGGGCCCGCCA